This 468-nucleotide ribosomal RNA is filed under the name uncultured bacterium. Its description in RNAcentral is "partial 16S ribosomal RNA". It matches the Rfam family "Bacterial small subunit ribosomal RNA", at positions 28 to 507 of the family's 1533-position model. The record is from RNAcentral.
GACGAACGCUGGCGGCGUGCCUAACACAUGCAAGUCGAACGGAAAGGCCAGGCUUUUGUGGGGUGCUCGAGUGGCGAACGCGUGAGUAAAACGUGAGUAUCCUGCCCUUGACUUUGGGAUAACUUCAGGAAACUGGGGCUCAUACCGGAUAGGAGCUCCUGCUGCAUGGUGGGCGAUGGAAAGUUUCGGCGGUUGGGGAUGGACUCGCGGCUUAUCAGCUUGUUGGUGGGGUAGGGGCUUACCAAGGCUUUGACGGGUAGCCGGCCUGAGAGGGUGACCGGCCACAUUAGGACUACGGGACGGACCAGUAGCCUACGGGAGGCAACAGUGGGAAACAUUGCACAGUGGGGCGAAGCCUGAUACAGCGACCCUCGGUGCGGAAUGACGGCCUUCUGGGUGUAAACAGCUUUGGCCUGUGACGAAGCGGUAGUGACGGUAACUGGUCAAGAAGCCCCGGCUAACUACGUG